Molecule: ribosomal RNA, 1282 nt
Filed under: metagenome
Description: SSU rRNA
Rfam family: Eukaryotic small subunit ribosomal RNA
Source: RNAcentral
UCUGGUUGAUCCUGCCAGUAGUCAUAUGCUUGUCUCAAAGAUUAAGCCAUGCAUGUCUAAGUAUAAAUAGUAUACAGUGAAACUGCGAAUGGCUCAUUAAAACAGUUAUAGUUUAUUUGAUAAUUGACAAUUACAUGGAUAACCGUGGUAAUUCUAGAGCUAAUACAUGCUUAAACGCCCGACUUUAUGGAAGGGUGGUAUUUAUUAGACUGAAGCCAAUAUUCCUUGUGUCUAUUGCGGUAUUCAUAAUAACUGAUCGAAUCUCUUUUUGAGAUAAAUCAUUCAAGUUUCUGCCCUAUCAGCUUUCGAUGGUAGUGUAUUGGACUACCAUGGCAGUAACGGGUAACGAAGAAUUAGGGUUCGAUUUCGGAGAGGGAGCAUGAGAAACGGCUACCGCAUCUAAGGAAGGCAGCAGGCGCGUAAAUUACCCAAUCCUGACUCAGGGAGGUAGUGACAAGAAAUAGCAAACCGGGAACCUCAUGGUUUCACGGUAUUGCAAUGCGAACAAUUUAAAACCCUUAGCGAGAAUCAAGUGGAGGACAAGUCUGGUGCCAGCACCCGCGGUAAUUCCAGCUCCACUAGCGUAUAUUAAAGUUGUUGCAGUUAAAAAGCUCGUAGUUGAACCUCUGUCUGGGGCUAGUUUUGGCUUUGGUCAGGCUAGUUCUAGGCAUCCGCCUACAAGACUUAGAGGGCAUUCAGUUGUUCACUAGGAGGAGUAGGCAUUUUACUUUGAAAAAAUUAGAGUGUUUAAGGCAGGCAAUCGCCCGCAUAUAUUAGCAUGGAAUAAUAGAAUAGGACACUUUUCCAUUUCGUUGGUUAUUGGAAUCGUGUAAUGAUUAAUAGGGACAGUUGUGGGCAUUUGUAUUUAAUUGUCAGAGGUGAAAUUCUUGGAUUUAUUAAAGACAAACUAACGCGAAAGCAUUUGCCAAGGAUGUUUUCAUUAAUCAAGAACGAAAGUUAGGGGAUCAAAGACGAUCAGACACCGUCCUAGUCUUAACUAUAAACUAUUCCGACUCAAUGUUUGACUGGCUUAUAUAACCAGUUGAGCGUUGUAUGAGAAAUCAAAGUCUUUAGGUUCUGGGGGGAGUAUGGUUGCAAAGCUGAAACUUAAAGGAAUUGACGGAAGAGCACAACCAGGAGUGGAUUCUGCGGCUUAAUUUGACUCAACACGGGGAAACUUACCAGGUUAAAACAAUAGUGGGAUUGACAGUUUGAGAGCGCUUUCUUGAUUGGUUGGGUGGUGGUGCAUGGCCGUUCUUAGUUGGUGGAGUGAUUUGUCUGU